This 253-nucleotide ribosomal RNA is filed under the name uncultured bacterium. Its description in RNAcentral is "partial 16S ribosomal RNA". It matches the Rfam family "Bacterial small subunit ribosomal RNA", at positions 524 to 776 of the family's 1533-position model. The record is from RNAcentral.
UACGUAGGGGGCGAGCGUUGUUCGGAUUUACUGGGCGUAAAGAGCGCGUAGGUGGUUCGAUUAGUCGGAGGUGAAAUCCCUCGGCUCAACCGAGGAUCCGCGUCCGAUACUGUCGAACUUGAGUGCAGGAGAGGAGAGCGGAAUUCCCAGUGUAGCGGUGAAAUGCGUAGAUAUUGGGAGGAACACCGGUGGCGAAGGCGGCUCUCUGGACUGCCACUGACACUGAGGCGCGAAAGCUAGGGGAGCAAACGGG